This 544-nucleotide ribosomal RNA is filed under the name Priestia megaterium. Its description in RNAcentral is "bacterial SSU rRNA". It matches the Rfam family "Bacterial small subunit ribosomal RNA", at positions 94 to 624 of the family's 1533-position model. The record is from RNAcentral. Lineage: Bacteria; Bacillati; Bacillota; Bacilli; Caryophanales; Bacillaceae.
AGCGGCGGACGGGUGAGUAACACGUGGGCAACCUGCCUGUAAGACUGGGAUAACUUCGGGAAACCGAAGCUAAUACCGGAUAGGAUCUUCUCCUUCAUGGGAGAUGAUUGAAAGAUGGUUUCGGCUAUCACUUACAGAUGGGCCCGCGGUGCAUUAGCUAGUUGGUGAGGUAACGGCUCACCAAGGCAACGAUGCAUAGCCGACCUGAGAGGGUGAUCGGCCACACUGGGACUGAGACACGGCCCAGACUCCUACGGGAGGCAGCAGUAGGGAAUCUUCCGCAAUGGACGAAAGUCUGACGGAGCAACGCCGCGUGAGUGAUGAAGGCUUUCGGGUCGUAAAACUCUGUUGUUAGGGAAGAACAAGUACAAGAGUAACUGCUUGUACCUUGACGGUACCUAACCAGAAAGCCACGGCUAACUACGUGCCAGCAGCCGCGGUAAUACGUAGGUGGCAAGCGUUAUCCGGAAUUAUUGGGCGUAAAGCGCGCGCAGGCGGUUUCUUAAGUCUGAUGUGAAAGCCCACGGCUCAACCGUGGAGGGUC